ACCUGAAAUCAAGCAAGAUCACCCGCUGAACUUAAGCAUAUCAGUAAGCGGAGGAAAAGAAACUAACAAGGAUUGCCUUAGUAGUGGCGAAUGAACCGGCAAUAGCUCAAAGUGUAAAUCUGAGGCAUCAAGUCUUAGAAUUGUAAUCUAUAGGCCUUUUAGGGAAGCCAUGGUUCUAGCAUAAGUUCCCUGAAAAGGGAUGCCAAAGAGGGUAAAAGCCCCGUAUUUGGUUAGGACUGGGUGUACCGAAGGGUUCCAAGAGUCGGGUUGUUUGGGAUUGCAGCCUAAAAUGGGAGAUAAACUUCUUCUAAAGCUAAAUAUUUAUGGGAAACCGAUAGCAAACAAGUACUACGAAGGAAAGAUGAAAAGAACUUUGAAAAGAGGGUUAAAAGACUUGAAAUCGUUGAGGAGAAAAGCGGUAGAAGAGAAAUGAUUUCAUUUAGAAGUAUGUAGUUUUGUAGGCGUCUUCUGCGGUGAUGGUACUUCAUAGGGCCUAAUUGUAGACUGGCGUCGCAUUCCUGCUUUUUCUGGAUGAAGUGCAAAAUGAGGUCUCGCUUGCGGAAACGUCUCUAGGGAAGACUCUGGCCUCGACGCUGGAAGCCCUGAUCUCCAA
This 613-nucleotide ribosomal RNA is filed under the name Paramecium pentaurelia. RNAcentral describes it as "eukaryotic LSU rRNA". It matches the Rfam family "Eukaryotic large subunit ribosomal RNA", at positions 1 to 557 of the family's 3401-position model. Lineage: Eukaryota; Ciliophora; Oligohymenophorea; Peniculida; Parameciidae. The record is from RNAcentral.